This 275-nucleotide unclassified non-coding RNA is filed under the name Hevea brasiliensis (rubber tree). The record is from RNAcentral. Lineage: Eukaryota; Viridiplantae; Streptophyta; Magnoliopsida; Malpighiales; Euphorbiaceae.
CGAAGCCAUGGGCGGCAACUCGCACGACGGCGCCAAGAUCGUCGCCAAGAUGAAGGAAACGAAAACGGAUGAUCCGUUGUUCGGUAAGGGUGAAAUUCAGCCGAACGGACGCAAGAUCCAUCCGGCUUAUCUCUUCGAAGUGAAGAAGCCUUCCGAGUCCAAGGGACCGUGGGACUAUUACAAGCUGGUUGGCACCACGCCUGCCGAGCAGGCCUUNCUGUCGGAAAGCGUUUGUCCGCUGGUGAAGAAGUAACAACCAAUCGCCCGGCGGCUUG